GCCUUUGAUUUUUUAGAACUUUACAUAAUAAAGUUGUAGAUUAGAUAAUGCGGGUGGCAGACCCACUCAAAAGCUUUCUGAUAAUGCUCUAAUACACCAAAAUAAAGUUGGAUUCCGAUUCCCAGGAUUAGAGACUCAAUAAGCAGCAAGAUACCUGCACGAAUCAUUGCGUAUCCGAUCCGAACAUCAUUUUAUACAAAUAAAAAGUAAAAAAUGUCAAAUAAAUAAAAAGAAAAGCAAGCAGCCAAACUAAAUCAUCCAGAAUAUCAGAACAGUCUGUUCAGUACCUUGGAUUUCCAUUUUCCAAACACUUUAAUUAAGAUUCUCCCAAUAAAAAGCAAGUAAGCAACCAUGCGACGCAUGCUUGCCAC
This 371-nucleotide long non-coding RNA is filed under the name Gossypium barbadense (sea-island cotton). RNAcentral describes it as "long non-coding RNA (GBAR_LNC016113)". Lineage: Eukaryota; Viridiplantae; Streptophyta; Magnoliopsida; Malvales; Malvaceae. The record is from RNAcentral.